CUACGGAUAUUUUUGUCUGAUUACUGUUUCUCCUACAGUUACUGCAGCUAACAGCCCUUGCUCUUUACCACGCCUCAUCUUGGGAUAGCCAUAGAGCGACUGAUAUGUAUUUCUGGCACACAUGGACUUCUUCAGAAGAGCUGAUGCACAAGUCUGCCAAAUAGCACUGGCACUUAAUACACUCAAAUUGUAAAGAAGAUUUUAAUCCUUGCAAGAACUCACCUUUUCACUCUCAGCCUCUGGCUGUCCUGUGUGGGGAAGAGAAAUGUUCAACAAGGCUGGUCAGAGAGGUUGGCUUAGUAUCCAGCUCCGGUCCCUGAGCGAGCUUUCUUUUAUCUCGAGAGACUGAUUCCACUUAGACCCCUCCUAUGCCUGGUUUUGCCAUAAAUCCAGAAUGAUAACCCCCACUGUGCUGAAAUAUUCACAAGAGGAGUAUCACCGCUGUUAUUUAAGGAACGCCACAAAAAAAGAAGACACGGAAAUGCGUGGAGCUCAAGUCUCGGGAGCUAAACAAGAGAGAAAAGGAGGAUUGCAAUCCUUAGAGCCUGUAGAGGCAGACGGCUGUUGGCUGUCAAGGGAGAGGAUUAGCACCUACGUGUCUUUCAGUGUAUUUAUUUCUUAUGAUAUCUGUCUUCUCAUGAGGCAGAGGCAUUUUAGAGCACUUCAGAUGCAGUUGCGUUUGGGAAGAGGCACCCGCAGAUCUGGAGACAUCACUCUGAGAAACCUGGGGGGUCAUGGAAGUAUAAGCCUGGCUGACACAAUGAAAUACCCAAUGAAGAGUGAGCUCUGUGUAUUUUGCUUCUGGCUUAUGUUUCCAGAAUCCCACAGUUUGAUAAGCGAUAGUUUGGAAGAGCCAUUCCAGUGUACCUGA
Numida meleagris (helmeted guineafowl) is the source of this 871-nucleotide long non-coding RNA. The record is from Ensembl. NCBI's taxonomy places the organism in Eukaryota, Metazoa, Chordata, Aves, Galliformes, Numididae.